Molecule: long non-coding RNA, 530 nt
Filed under: Monodelphis domestica (gray short-tailed opossum)
Lineage: Eukaryota; Metazoa; Chordata; Mammalia; Didelphimorphia; Didelphidae
Description: lncRNA (ENSMODG00000049729.1)
Source: RNAcentral
CUGUACUUUUAUUUUGCCCUGUUGUGCUUAGUUUAUGUCUUGAAAUUUGCUCGUAUUAAAGUACAACAAAUUUCGCUCAACAGCUUAAUGGAGCUUACGUUGUGUAGAAGGUCAUCAGAGGAAGAACAUUGGAAAGAAGGGGAAAAAAAUUCCAAGAGCUCAAAUUACAACUUAAAACGAAGAGCAGAAAGGAAGGCUACUCUGUGUUGUAGGAGACUAUUACCACACUUUGCUCUGAAAGAAAAGUCUAAGGAGUAGAAAAGUUGUUGGGAAACGGGACUGCAAAACACUUUAAGGACAAACUGUGGGAGUAGAAACACCAAGGAAAAACAACUGCCUGACUACAGCGGUUGAAGGGACAUGACAGAGGAGAGACUCUAAACGAACAUUCUAAUGCAAAGACUAACAACAUGGCAAUGGGUUCGAAUCAAGAACACAUGUGAUACCCAGUGAAAUCACGCGUCAGCUAUGGGGGUCGGGGGGGGGGGAGGAAAAGAAAAUGAUCUUUGUCUUUAAUGAAUAAUGCUUGG